Humulus lupulus (European hop) is the source of this 1025-nucleotide long non-coding RNA. RefSeq lists it as uncharacterized. The transcript is spliced from 5 exons. The record is from RefSeq and is a predicted model, not a curated record. NCBI's taxonomy places the organism in Eukaryota, Viridiplantae, Streptophyta, Magnoliopsida, Rosales, Cannabaceae.
AACAAUUAUGCCCAUAUAUUACAUUAAAAUAUAGCAUAUUUUUAAAAGUGUUAUUGUCCCGUGCUAAUAGACUUAGGCGCUAAAAAGACAGCUAAAAUGACAUAUUAGGCGGCAAAUAUAAUAGACUUAGGCGCCAAAUGAAAGAAAAAACCCUUACCCUAAUCUCUAAGGUUGAAUCCCUAAUAACCCUUUACGCCUCCUCUCUCACACUCAGUAACUCUCUCUCGUUCUAUCUUUCUCUCUUAGCUACUCUCUCGUUCAAUCCUUCUUUCCUUCUCUCUGUUUGUUGCAGGUGUGUAACAAGGUGAUGGGGGCCCGCAGCUUGGGUCGUAUGACAGGGAGGCUCGAUUCGUGGGUCUAUGGCGUGGCUCGCUCGUGGGUGCGGCGGUGAUUGCGGCGGUGGGUCUACGACAUGGCUCGACUGGUCUAUCUUCCAUCAGAUACGAUUUGGGGUUUGUAGAUUCAACUUGUUUCCGUGUCUAUGUGAAAGUCAGAUGUGAAGAGAUGGUGGAGACAACUGACUUAACAUUAAUGUAGUUGCAGGACUAAUGAGAAUAAUUGCUAGGAUACAUAUGCUUGGGGCUCUAAACGGUGUGAAGAUGGACUUGGCAAAUGUUGUUUCCCCUUUGCUUAUAGCAUAGCUAGAGAGCUUGAUUUGGAGGAAUGGACUUCGAGGACUGAAACUGCUAAUGUGCUGCAUGAGCCAGUAUGUCUCUUUUCAUCUCAUCUCAUCUCAUCUUGCAAGUCAUUUAUAAUUUAAGUAGUUUCUUUUUCUCUAGAGUUAAUUAUGAGAAAUUCAUAAACAUUGUUUGGUAAAUGAAAAUUGUAUUGUUCUGCUUUACUAACUCUGUUAGAUCAUUCCUUUUAUUCUGUUAACUUUCAAUUUUAUACAUAUUUGUAAAAUUUGGGCUCCUUAAUCUAUUUCUAAAAUUUAAAAUGUAUUUGAAUGAAUUAGUUUAGUGAUAGUGCUAGUUCUCUCAAUAUCCUAUCUUUCCAUAUCAAGUUUGAAAUUCAUGUCUAGAUCA